RNAcentral lists this ribosomal RNA (429 nucleotides) under Chloroflexota bacterium. RNAcentral describes it as "Chloroflexi bacterium partial 16S ribosomal RNA". It matches the Rfam family "Bacterial small subunit ribosomal RNA", at positions 355 to 776 of the family's 1533-position model. Lineage: Bacteria; Bacillati; Chloroflexota. The record is from RNAcentral.
UGGGGAAUAUUGCACAAUGGGCGCAAGCCUGAUGCAGCCAUGCCGCGUGUAUGAAGAAGGCCUUCGGGUUGUAAAGUACUUUCAGCGGGGAGGAAGGGAGUAAAGUUAAUACCUUUGCUCAUUGACGUUACCCGCAGAAGAAGCACCGGCUAACUCCGUGCCAGCAGCCGCGGUAAUACGGAGGGUGCAAGCGUUAAUCGGAAUUACUGGGCGUAAAGCGCACGCAGGCGGUUUGUUAAGUCAGAUGUGAAAUCCCCGGGCUCAACCUGCGAACGGCAUCUGAUACUGGCAAGCUUGAGUCUCGUAGAGGGGGGUAGAAUUCCAGGUGUAGCGGUGAAAUGCGUAGAGAUCUGGAGGAAUACCGGUGGCGAAGGCGGCCCCCUGGACGAAGACUGACGCUCAGGUGCGAAAGCGUGGGGAGCAAACAGG